Molecule: ribosomal RNA, 253 nt
Filed under: uncultured bacterium
Lineage: Bacteria
Description: partial 16S ribosomal RNA
Rfam family: Bacterial small subunit ribosomal RNA
Source: RNAcentral
UACAGAGGGUGCAAGCGUUGUCCGGAAUUAUUGGGCGUAAAGAGCUCGUAGGCGGUCUGUUGCGUCGGCCGUGAAAUCCCAUGGCUCAACUGUGGGCUUGCAGCCGAUACGGGCGGGCUAGAGUUCGGUAGGGGAGACUGGAAUUCCUGGUGUAGCGGUGAAAUGCGCAGAUAUCAGGAGGAACACCGGUGGCGAAGGCGGGUCUCUGGGCCGAUACUGACGCUGAGGAGCGAAAGCGUGGGGAGCGAACAGG